AACGCACAUUGCGCCCCUUGGUAUUCCGAGGGGCAUGCCUGUUCGAGCGUCAUUUCAACCCCUCAAGCUCUGCUUGGUGUUGGGCCUCGCCAUCGCGGCGGGCCUUAAAAUCAGUGGCGGUGCCGUCUCGGCUCCAAGCGUAGUAGCAUCAUCUCGCUCUGGAGGCCCGGCGGUUGCUGGCCAGAUAACCCCCAAUUUUUUUCUCGUGGUUGACCUCGGAUCAGGUAGGGAUACCCGCUGAACUUAA
This 247-nucleotide unclassified non-coding RNA is filed under the name uncultured fungus. RNAcentral describes it as "partial contains 5.8S ribosomal RNA, internal transcribed spacer 2, and large subunit ribosomal RNA". The stretch from base 1 to 52 matches the Rfam family "5.8S ribosomal RNA", at positions 103 to 154 of the family's 154-position model. Lineage: Eukaryota; Fungi. The record is from RNAcentral.